Elaeis guineensis (African oil palm) is the source of this 2349-nucleotide RNA transcript. RefSeq lists it as uncharacterized. NCBI's taxonomy places the organism in Eukaryota, Viridiplantae, Streptophyta, Magnoliopsida, Arecales, Arecaceae. The record is from RefSeq and is a predicted model, not a curated record.
GACUCUUCCCCACAGCGCCAACCUUAAAAGAGAGAAGACUAGCAAAAGAAAAAUCACCUUUACUUCUUCGGUUUCUCGGCUGCUAUAUCAUUCUAAAACCGUGAGAGGAAAUCGAACUCUUCAAUCUUCACCAUCUUCUUCUCGCUUUCACAGGGAGAUCUUGUUUCCUUUUUUUGUUUCAGCAAAAUUCUCAGGGUAAUUUUUUCAGGAUCAAGUUUCGGAGAUGUUAGAUUGGAAUGAUAAAGAACUGGUGCGAGGCAUGGAAUUGGGUGAAUUUUUUGAGAAUGGAGAUAGUAUUGUGCCUCAUCCCAUGGAAACUGAAGAGAUGGCUUUUACUUUUGGAGAUCAGAGAGUGAAACAGAUGAAGGAAAGCAUUGCCAGUGACAGGAGGUCUAAUAACCAAAUCUGUGGAACUAAAAAUAAUUUAAGGAGCUGUUAUUUGGAGAAUAUCUCUUGUUAUAGUACAAAUGAGAAACCUACUGCUUCAGAACUCCACUUUGAUGCAUUGCCUGCAUGGCCUACCGUAAGUUCUGCAUGCAGGAAAGGGUACAAUGGUGGACAAGAACAUGAUCCUUGGGCAACAGAAGUGAUGGAAGAUCUUAUUGAUAAUUCUCAACUGAAUUCGCUGAGUGAUUGCAUGAUGGAGUGUCAUCAUUCUGGUGUUAUGCUUCAUGGCGAGGACUCAUUAUCUGCAGAUAAGUCAUGUAGUUUCUCAACCAGUAGAAAUAGUGGAGGGUAUGAAGAUAAAGAGAUUAACGGCCUUCUUGACUUUGAUUGGGAUACUUUUGAAGACAUUGAUUUUGAUAUGAUUUUCAGAAAUGAUGACUCCACUUACUCCAUAUUUGGAGAUGAAAUAGUUGGUAUUUCAGAUGUAUUUCUCUCUCCAUCUACCAAUGUAACGAGUAGCACCACACAGUUUAUUCCAAAGCCAGAUAUUUCGUUUUGCGAAGAUGAGACUCCUGAUCAAGGUUGUUCCUCCGUUCUGUUAGAUGAACAUCCACAUAGAAAAAGAAAUGCUUUACAUAAAGAGAAGGCAGAUGAGCAAGAAAAACCACCGAUUUCAUGGGAACGGUCAGAGGCAAAUAGCAAGAAUAGAGAAUCAUGCAACUUGAAAGGUUCCUGGGCCCAUAAAACUUGCCAAAACCAACAAAAUUCAAGACAGAAAAGGGUUUCUUCAGAUACAGUACCAGAUGUUAGACCACAUAAUGCAACACUCCAGGAAAAUAUUGAAAAUCAAAAGCAGCAGCAGCAAACACAGGCUAUGAUUGCAGUUCAGCAGCAGCAGCAAAAAAAUGGCCUUCAGAUCACUGUUGCUGGCAAUUCAGUUUCCCAGUCAUGCUCACAAAAGAGUCUGAGUCAGGAAGCUGCCACAAGCUCUUUUGGAAUUGAAGAAAGUUCAGAGCUCACAUCAUUGGAGCAGAACAUGCUUGUAGAGCAAGAGGAAUCUGAGAGGAGCUCGAUGCUGAGUGAUGAGCACUCUUUAGAAGAAACCAUAUAUUACCGUCUCCAAGAUACUUUAAGAAAGUUGGACACUGGGCUGAGGCUUUGCAUCAGAGAUAGCAUGUUUCGUUUAGCUAGAAGUGCUAUAGAAAGACAAAGCAUUAAUGACAGCUUAAGUACCAACAAGAGUAACAAAGAUGAAGAAGAGGUUGCUGAAAAUGGACAAAUGAAUAAUCAUGGGAGGGCUGCAAGUUCACCAACUUCAGAGACAUAUACAAAUUUCAUCGAUCGGAUCGUGGCUCAGUUGCUCUUUCACAGGUCUCCAUAGUCAUGUCCAUGAGCCACAGAAGAUGAGCAACCUCCACCAUCCAUUUUGCACAACUUCGGUAAUGUCCCUUUUUCUGUAAAAGUAACGUGCUUUGAUUUGUCCGACGAUGAAUCACACUUACUUGCAUGAUUGGUGAUCGAUGAAUGCCUUGUGGAAGCGCAAUGAUGGGACAGCUUAAGAACUUUGUAUAGAAGGAGGCCCAACCUUUGCUUUGGAGUAAGAUGCCAAGAGGAAGUCCAGCCAAAAUCUGGGUGAGGAAGAGAUCAUACCCAGGAAAUAGGAGACAAAUUGUUGGCUGCCUGUGCUCAUGCAUGGGGAUGUACGAUUCAUGGCGGACGUGGGAAGUGCUUGUCGAAAUUUGGAAGAUAAUACCAAAGGCAUUGAAAAUAAAUACAAAGAGGAGAUCGACUGCAAUAUUUUGAUGAAAGAUGUAACGUUGUAUAUGGAUGUGCGAUAGUUUGUGAAUAACCUCGACAAUUGCAAUUAUCAUAGAAGAAGAGCAGGCGCAAUUGACUGUGAAGGCGCGAUUGCACAUGAACUUUUUUAUUCCCUUAUAUGGUUUUUCUUUUUCUUCUCAAGAA